Molecule: ribosomal RNA, 505 nt
Filed under: uncultured bacterium
Lineage: Bacteria
Description: bacterial SSU rRNA
Rfam family: Bacterial small subunit ribosomal RNA
Source: RNAcentral
AGUCACGAGUUUGAUCAUGGCUCAGAUUGAACGCUGGCGGAAUGCUUUACACAUGCAAGUCGAACGGUAGAGGGGGCAACCCCUUGAGAGUGGCGAACGGGUGAGUAAUAUAUCGGAACGUGCCCAGUCGUGGGGGAUAACGUAGCGAAAGUUACGCUAAUACCGCAUACGAUCUAAGGAUGAAAGCGGGGGAUCGCAAGACCUCGCGCGAUUGGAGCGGCCGAUAUCAGAUUAGGUAGUUGGUGGGGUAAAGGCUCACCAAGCCAACGAUCUGUAGCUGGUCUGAGAGGACGACCAGCCACACUGGAACUGAGACACGGUCCAGACUCCUACGGGAGGCAGCAGUGGGGAAUUUUGGACAAUGGACGCAAGUCUGAUCCAGCCAUUCCGCGUGCAGGAUGAAGGCCCUCGGGUUGUAAACUGCUUUUGUACGGAACGAAAAGGUUUCUAUUAAUACUAGGAGCUCAUGACGGUACCGUAAGAAUAAGCACCGGCUAACUACGUG